This 89-nucleotide transfer RNA is filed under the name Clostridia bacterium. RNAcentral describes it as "tRNA-Leu". It matches the Rfam family "tRNA". From Rfam's summary of the family: Transfer RNA (tRNA) molecules are approximately 80 nucleotides in length. Their secondary structure includes four short double-helical elements and three loops (D, anti-codon, and T loops). The record is from RNAcentral. Lineage: Bacteria; Bacillati; Bacillota; Clostridia.
GCCGGAGUGGCGGAAUAGGCAGACGCCUUGGACUUAAAAUCCAAUGCAACGAAAGUUGCGUACCGGUUCGAGCCCGGUUUCCGGCACCA